ACGGCUCAGUAACACGUGGACAACCUGCCCUUAGGUUGGGUAUAAACCCGGGAAACUGGGUAUAAUACCCGAUAGGUCUCGAUUGCUGGAAUGCAUCGAGAUUUAAAGCUCCGGCGCCUAAGGAUGGGUCUGCGGCCUAUCAGGUAGUAGUGGGUGUAGCGUACCUACUAGCCUACGACGGGUACGGGUUGUGUGAGCAAGAGCCCGGAGAUGGAUUCUGAGACACGAAUCCAGGCCCUACGGGGUGCAGCAGGCGCGAAAACUUUACAAUGCUGGCAACAGCGAUAAGGGAACCUCGAGUGCCAGGUUACAAAUCUGGCUGUCGAGAUGCCUAAAAAGCAUUUCAUAGCAAGGGCCGGGCAAGACCGGUGCCAGCCGCCGCGGUAACACCGGCGGCUCGAGUGGUAACCGUUAUUAUUGGGUCUAAAGGGUCUGUAGCCGGCCGGAUAAGUCUCUUGAGAAAUCUGGCAGCUUAACUGUCAGGCUUUCAGGAGAUACUGUCUGGCUCGAGGCCGGGAGAGGUGAGAGGUACUUCAGGGGUAGGGGUGAAAUCUUGUAAUCCUUGAAGGACCACCAGUGGCGAAGGCGUCUCACCAGAACGGACCUGACGGCAAGGGACGAAAGCUAGGGGCACGAACCGGAUUAGAUACCCGGGUAGUCCUAGCCGUAAACGAUACUCGCUAGGUGUCGGCCACGGUGCGACCGUUGUCGGUGCCGUAGGGAAGCCGUGAAGCGAGCCACCUGGGGAAGUACGGCCGCAAGGCUGAAACUUAAAGGAAUUGGCGGGGGAGCAC
This 794-nucleotide ribosomal RNA is filed under the name uncultured archaeon. RNAcentral's name for it is "bacterial SSU rRNA". It matches the Rfam family "Archaeal small subunit ribosomal RNA", at positions 85 to 879 of the family's 1478-position model. The record is from RNAcentral.